Long non-coding RNA from Lotus japonicus, 638 nucleotides. RefSeq lists it as uncharacterized. NCBI's taxonomy places the organism in Eukaryota, Viridiplantae, Streptophyta, Magnoliopsida, Fabales, Fabaceae. The record is from RefSeq and is a predicted model, not a curated record. The transcript has 2 exons.
GGAAACCUUGGGCUUGACUGAACAAGCUUGUGAGCGAGACCUGCACCGCGAGACUAGAACAACUCGAGACGUUCAACAGAUGAUUCAAGAAGGUUCGUCGUUCGGGGAGGACCCGGAGCGAAAUGACUACUACUGAGCCUUCGACGUGGACCCGGACUUCAUGGAAGAUCAGAUGAGGGUCGAAGAUAGUGGUGUAGGAUAUGGGUGGUUAGAGUUACUGAUUUUGGUUGUCAUGGUCAUAGCUCUGAUUCAUCAGUUGUAUUUUGGGGCAGGGUAGGUUCCCGACUAUUAGCUUUUUGUGUGAUUCUCUUCCAUGAGGAUCACAGGGAGUUUGUCGGGCGUAGGAAGUCUUUUGGAAGCCGUUUUGGGCUGACUUACUUUUCGGAGGACUGUAUUUAUAAAACUUAUGACUCUAUUUAUGAGUCGCACUUGUUUGCCGUUGGGCAAUACUUUUAGUUACUUGAUGUUACUUUCCGUCACUUGAGGACACUCGUGACGAUGUUUUUAGUUACAGCAAGGGUGUGCUUGUAUUGUAUAUUAAUCGCUGUUAAUCGCGAUUGGGAUGAGACCUGAUUUCGACAAGUCUUUUUAUUUAAACAAAAGAAAAAAAAAAAUACCUGCUUUUCCGCUUUAUUUUA